This 1105-nucleotide ribosomal RNA is filed under the name Pseudoalteromonas sp. RNAcentral's name for it is "bacterial SSU rRNA". It matches the Rfam family "Bacterial small subunit ribosomal RNA", at positions 94 to 1219 of the family's 1533-position model. The record is from RNAcentral. Lineage: Bacteria; Pseudomonadati; Pseudomonadota; Gammaproteobacteria; Alteromonadales; Pseudoalteromonadaceae.
AGCGGCGGACGGGUGAGUAAUGCUUGGGAACAUGCCUUGAGGUGGGGGACAACAGUUGGAAACGACUGCUAAUACCGCAUAAUGUCUACGGACCAAAGGGGGCUUCGGCUCUCGCCUUUAGAUUGGCCCAAGUGGGAUUAGCUAGUUGGUGAGGUAAUGGCUCACCAAGGCAACGAUCCCUAGCUGGUUUGAGAGGAUGAUCAGCCACACUGGAACUGAGACACGGUCCAGACUCCUACGGGAGGCAGCAGUGGGGAAUAUUGCACAAUGGGCGAAAGCCUGAUGCAGCCAUGCCGCGUGUGUGAAGAAGGCCUUCGGGUUGUAAAGCACUUUCAGUCAGGAGGAAAGGGUGUGAGUUAAUACCUCACAUCUGUGACGUUACUGACAGAAGAAGCACCGGCUAACUCCGUGCCAGCAGCCGCGGUAAUACGGAGGGUGCGAGCGUUAAUCGGAAUUACUGGGCGUAAAGCGUACGCAGGCGGUUUGUUAAGCGAGAUGUGAAAGCCCCGGGCUCAACCUGGGAACUGCAUUUCGAACUGGCAAACUAGAGUGUGAUAGAGGGUGGUAGAAUUUCAGGUGUAGCGGUGAAAUGCGUAGAGAUCUGAAGGAAUACCGAUGGCGAAGGCAGCCACCUGGGUCAACACUGACGCUCAUGUACGAAAGCGUGGGGAGCAAACGGGAUUAGAUACCCCGGUAGUCCACGCCGUAAACGAUGUCUACUAGAAGCUCGGAACCUCGGUUCUGUUUUUCAAAGCUAACGCAUUAAGUAGACCGCCCGGGGAGUACGGCCGCAAGGUUAAAACUCAGAUGAAUUGACGGGGGCCCGCACAAGCGGUGGAGCAUGUGGUUUAAUUCGAUGCAACGCGAAGAACCUUACCUACACUUGACAUACAGAGAACUUUCUAGAGAUAGAUUGGUGCCUUCGGGAACUCUGAUACAGGUGCUGCAUGGCUGUCGUCAGCUCGUGUUGUGAGAUGUUGGGUUAGUCCCGCACGAGCGCACCCCUAUCCUAGUUGCUAGCAGGUAUGCUGAGACUCUAAGGAGAUGCCGUGAUAACCGGAGAAGGUGGGACAACUCAGUCUCAGGCCCUUCUGUAGGGUACCCC